RNAcentral lists this ribosomal RNA (442 nucleotides) under uncultured bacterium. Its description in RNAcentral is "partial 16S ribosomal RNA". It matches the Rfam family "Bacterial small subunit ribosomal RNA", at positions 338 to 795 of the family's 1533-position model. The record is from RNAcentral.
CCUACGGGAGGCAGCAGUAGGGAAUCUUUCACAAUGGGCGAAAGCCUGAUGGAGCAACGCCGCGUGCAGGAUGAAGGCCUUCGGGUUGUAAACCGCUUUUAUAAGCGAGAAAUAUGAUGGUAACUUAUGAAUAAGGAUCGGCUAACUACGUGCCAGCAGCCGCGGUCAUACGUAGGAUCCGAGCAUUAUCCGGAGUGACUGGGUGUAAAGAGUUGCGUAGGUGGCAUAAUAAGUAGCUAGUGAAAUCGGGUGGCUCAACCAUUCAGACUAUUAGCUAAAAUGUUAAGCUCGAGACCGUUAGGGGUAACUGGAAUUUCUAGUGUAGGAGUGAAAUCCGUAGAUAUUAGGAGGAACACCAAUGGCGUAGGCAGGUUACUGGGACGGUUCUGACACUAAGGCACGAAAGCGUAGGGAGCAAACGGGAUUAGAUACCCGAGUAGUC